Molecule: ribosomal RNA, 1001 nt
Filed under: Cellulomonas sp. CP3
Lineage: Bacteria; Bacillati; Actinomycetota; Actinomycetes; Micrococcales; Cellulomonadaceae
Description: bacterial SSU rRNA
Rfam family: Bacterial small subunit ribosomal RNA
Source: RNAcentral
AUUGUGGCGACGCCACAGCGCGGUAAUACGUAGGGCGCAAGCGUUGUCCGGAAUUAUUGGGCGUAAAGAGCUCGUAGGCGGUUUGUCGCGUCUGGUGUGAAAACUCGAGGCUCAACCUCGAGCUUGCAUCGGGUACGGGCAGACUAGAGUGCGGUAGGGGAGACUGGAAUUCCUGGUGUAGCGGUGGAAUGCGCAGAUAUCAGGAGGAACACCGAUGGCGAAGGCAGGUCUCUGGGCCGCAACUGACGCUGAGGAGCGAAAGCAUGGGGAGCGAACAGGAUUAGAUACCCUGGUAGUCCAUGCCGUAAACGUUGGGCACUAGGUGUGGGGCUCAUUCCACGAGUUCCGUGCCGCAGCAAACGCAUUAAGUGCCCCGCCUGGGGAGUACGGCCGCAAGGCUAAAACUCAAAGGAAUUGACGGGGGCCCGCACAAGCGGCGGAGCAUGCGGAUUAAUUCGAUGCAACGCGAAGAACCUUACCAAGGCUUGACAUGCACGGGAAGCCACCAGAGAUGGUGGUCUCUUUGGACACUCGUGCACAGGUGGUGCAUGGUUGUCGUCAGCUCGUGUCGUGAGAUGUUGGGUUAAGUCCCGCAACGAGCGCAACCCUCGUCCCAUGUUGCCAGCGGGUUAUGCCGGGGACUCAUGGGAGACUGCCGGGGUCAACUCGGAGGAAGGUGGGGAUGACGUCAAAUCAUCAUGCCCCUUAUGUCUUGGGCUUCACGCAUGCUACAAUGGCCGGUACAAAGGGCUGCGAUACCGUAAGGUGGAGCUAAUCCCAAAAAGCCGGUCUCAGUUCGGAUUGGGGUCUGCAACUCGACCCCAUGAAGUCGGAGUCGCUAGUAAUCGCAGAUCAGCAACGCUGCGGUGAAUACGUUCCCGGGCCUUGUACACACCGCCCGUCAAGUCACGAAAGUCGGUAACACCCGAAGCCCAUGGCCCAACCGUUCGCGGGGGGAGUGGUCGAAGGUGGGACUGGCGAUUGGGACUAAGUCGUAACAA